RNAcentral lists this ribosomal RNA (374 nucleotides) under uncultured organism. Its description in RNAcentral is "partial 16S ribosomal RNA". It matches the Rfam family "Bacterial small subunit ribosomal RNA", at positions 527 to 897 of the family's 1533-position model. The record is from RNAcentral.
GAGGGGUGUAAGCGUUAUUCGGAAUUACUGGGCGUAAAGGGUGCGUAGACGGCGCAUUAAGUCUGUUGUUAAAUUUUUCGGCCUAACCGAAAAGCCGCGACGGAAACUGGUGUGCUAGAGAAUGAGAGAGAGAAGUGGAAUUCCCGGAGUAGCGGUAAAAUGCGUGGAUCUCGGGAGGAACACCAAUGGCGAAGGCAGCUUCUUGGCUCAUUUCUGACGUUGAGGCACGAAAGCGUGGGGAGCAAACAGGAUUAGAUACCCUGGGUAGUCCACGCCGUAAACGAUAAUCACUAGACGUUAGUCCGGCUUUGCUGGAUUAGUGUCGUAGCUAACGCGUUAAGUGAUUCGCCUGGGGAGUACGAUCGCAAGAUUAA